GCCGGGCGCGGUGGCAUGUGUCUGUAGUCCCAGCUACUCAGGAGGCUGAGGCUGGAGGAUUGCUUGAGCCCAGGAGUUCUGGGCUGUAGUGCGCUAUGCCGAUUGGGUGUCUGCACUAAGUUUGGCAUCAAUAUGGUGACCUCCCAGGAGCAGGGGACCACCAGGUUGCCUAAGGAGGGGUGACCAGCCCAGGUCGGAAAUGGAGCAGGUCAAAACUCCGGUGCUGAUCAGUAGUGGGAUCACGCCUGUGAAUAGCCACUGCACUCCAGCCUGGGCAACAGAGCGAGACCCCAUCUCU
RNAcentral lists this signal recognition particle RNA (298 nucleotides) under Aotus nancymaae (Ma's night monkey). Its description in RNAcentral is "Metazoan signal recognition particle RNA (ENSANAG00000001984.1)". It matches the Rfam family "Metazoan signal recognition particle RNA". From Rfam's summary of the family: The signal recognition particle (SRP) is a universally conserved ribonucleoprotein. It is involved in the co-translational targeting of proteins to membranes. Lineage: Eukaryota; Metazoa; Chordata; Mammalia; Primates; Aotidae. The record is from RNAcentral.